This 209-nucleotide ribosomal RNA is filed under the name Corynebacterium glutamicum. RNAcentral's name for it is "partial 16S ribosomal RNA". It matches the Rfam family "Bacterial small subunit ribosomal RNA", at positions 1 to 207 of the family's 1533-position model. Lineage: Bacteria; Bacillati; Actinomycetota; Actinomycetes; Mycobacteriales; Corynebacteriaceae. The record is from RNAcentral.
UUUGUGGAGAGUUUGAUCCUGGCUCAGGACGAACGCUGGCGGCGUGCUUAACACAUGCAAGUCGAACGCUGAAACCGGAGCUUGCUUUGGUGGAUGAGUGGCGAACGGGUGAGUAACACGUGGGUGAUCUGCCCUACACUUUGGGAUAAGCCUGGGAAACUGGGUCUAAUACCGAAUAUUCACACCACCGUAGGGGUGGUGUGGAAAGC